GGGGAUGCACCGGAUUUGAUUGGGCGGUGGCGUUGCUGUAAGCAUACCGAAGUUUCCCAUUCUUCGUAAAAAGGGGAAUUUAAAAUUAAAUGCUAAUAAUAACAAUUACGCAUACGCUGCUUAAUAUAUAGUAGCUGUUCUUUGCGAAAGCGUCGCCGAGUCGUAAAGGGCAUCAUUUUAGGCGAAUCUGUAACUUUUGGUUUGAUUGCGCUGAAUUUUGCAGUACUAAGCAAUACACGGUUUGCAGUAUUUGUCCGUUGAGACUGUAAGCAAGGGAUAAAAACGGAAUAAGUAUGUAGAAAGCACAAAAGACCCGUUCAAGACGAGGGUUCGACUCCCUCCAUCUCCACCA
This 352-nucleotide transfer-messenger RNA is filed under the name Clostridia bacterium. It matches the Rfam family "transfer-messenger RNA". Rfam says of the family: Bacterial tmRNA, also known as 10Sa RNA or SsrA, is named for its dual tRNA and mRNA-like properties. Lineage: Bacteria; Bacillati; Bacillota; Clostridia. The record is from RNAcentral.